Sceloporus undulatus (fence lizard) is the source of this 156-nucleotide small nuclear RNA. RefSeq annotates it as U1 spliceosomal RNA. The record is from RefSeq and is a predicted model, not a curated record. The transcript has a single exon. Lineage: Eukaryota; Metazoa; Chordata; Lepidosauria; Squamata; Phrynosomatidae.
AUACAAGGGGGGAUACCAUGAUCAUGAAGAUGGUUUUCCCAGGGUGAGGCUCAUCCAUUGCAUUCUGUGUGUGCUGACUCCACUGAUUUCCCCAAAUGCGGGAAACUCAAGUGCAUAAUUUGUGGUAGUGUCAAAGGUGCUACAAGUUCUUUCAUA